RNAcentral lists this ribosomal RNA (449 nucleotides) under uncultured bacterium. RNAcentral's name for it is "partial 16S ribosomal RNA". It matches the Rfam family "Bacterial small subunit ribosomal RNA", at positions 29 to 523 of the family's 1533-position model. The record is from RNAcentral.
AGCGAACGCUGGCGGCAGGCCUAACACAUGCAAGUCGAACGAAGUCUUCGGACUUAGUGGCGGACGGGUGAGUAGCACGUGGGAACGUACCUUUUGGUUCGGAACAACUCAGGGAAACUUGAGCUAAUACCGAAUGUGCCCUUAGGGGGAAAGAUUUAUCGCCAUUAGAGCGGCCCGCGUUAGAUUAGCUAGUUGGUGGGGUAAAGGCCCACCAAGGCUACGAUCUAUAGCUGGUCUGGGAGGAUGAUCAGCCACACUGGGACUGAGACACGGCCCAGACUCCUACGGGAGGCAGCAGUGGGGAAUCUUGCGCAAUGGGCGAAAGCCUGACGCAGCCAUGCCGCGUGAAUGAUGAAGGUCUUAGGAUUGUAAAAUUCUUUCAGUAGGGACGAUAAUGACGGUACCUACAGAAGAAGCCCCGGCUAACUUCGUGCCAGCAGCCGCAGUAA